GGGUUGUGAGGUUAAGCGACUAAGCGUACACGGUGGAUGCCCUGGCAGUCAGAGGCGAUGAAGGACGUGCUAAUCUGCGAAAAGCGCCGGCGAGGUGAUAUGAACCCUUGACCCGGCGAUGUCCGAAUGGGGAAACCCAGUGCAAUUCGUUGCACUAUCGUUAACUGAAUACAUAGGUUAACGAGGCGAACCGGGGGAACUGAAACAUCUAAGUACCCCGAGGAAAAGAAAUCAACCGAGAUUCCCCCAGUAGCGGCGAGCGAACGGGGAGCAGCCCGGAGUCUGAAUCAGCUUGUGUGUUAGUGGAACGGUCUGGAAAGUCCGACGGUACAGGGUGAUAGUCCCGUACACGAAAGCACACAUGCUGUGAACUCGAAGAGUAGGGCGGGACACGUGGUAUCCUGUCUGAAUAUGGGGGGACCAUCCUCCAAGGCUAAAUACUCCUGACUGACCGAUAGUGAACCAGUACCGUGAGGGAAAGGCGAAAAGAACCCCGGCGAGGGGAGUGAAAAAGAACCUGAAACCGUGUACGUACAAGCAGUGGGAGCCUCUUUAUGGGGUGACUGCGUACCUUUUGUAUAAUGGGUCAGCGACUUAUAUUCUGUAGCAAGGUUAACCGUAUAGGGGAGCCGAAGGGAAACCGAGUCUUAACUGGGCGUUAAGUUGCAGGGUAUAGACCCGAAACCCGGUGAUCUAGCCAUGGGCAGGUUGAAGGUUGGGUAACACUAACUGGAGGACCGAACCGACUAAUGUUGAAAAAUUAGCGGAUGACCUGUGGCUGGGGGUGAAAGGCCAAUCAAACCGGGAGAUAGCUGGUUCUCCCCGAAAGCUAUUUAGGUAGCGCCUCGUGAACUCAUCUUCGGGGGUAGAGCACUGUUUCGGCUAGGGGGCCAUCCCGGCUUACCAACCCGAUGCAAACUACGAAUACCGAAGAAUGUUAUCACGGGAGACACACGGCGGGUGCUAACGUCCGUCGUGAAGAGGGAAACAACCCAGACCGCCAGCUAAGGUCCCAAAGUCAUGGUUAAGUGGGAAACGAUGUGGGAAGGCACAGACAGCCAGGAUGUUGGCUUAGAAGCAGCCAUCAUUUAAAGAAAGCGUAAUAGCUCACUGGUCGAGUCGGCCUGCGCGGAAGAUGUAACGGGGCUAAACCAUGCACCGAAGCUGCGGCAGCGACACUAUGUGUUGUUGGGUAGGGGAGCGUUCUGUAAGCCGUUGAAGGUGUGCUGUGAGGCAUGCUGGAGGUAUCAGAAGUGCGAAUGCUGACAUAAGUAACGAUAAAGCGGGUGAAAAGCCCGCUCGCCGGAAGACCAAGGGUUCCUGUCCAACGUUAAUCGGGGCAGGGUGAGUCGACCCCUAAGGCGAGGCCGAAAGGCGUAGUCGAUGGGAAACAGGUUAAUAUUCCUGUACUUGGUGUUACUGCGAAGGGGGGACGGAGAAGGCUAUGUCAGCCGGGCGACGGUUGUCCCGGUUUAAGCAUGUAGGCGGAGGUUCCAGGUAAAUCCGGUACCUUAUUAACGCUGAGGUGUGAUGACGAGGCACUACGGUGCUGAAGUGAUAAAUGCCCUGCUUCCAGGAAAAGCCUCUAAGCAUCAGGUAACACGAAAUCGUACCCCAAACCGACACAGGUGGUCAGGUAGAGAAUACCAAGGCGCUUGAGAGAACUCGGGUGAAGGAACUAGGCAAAAUGGUGCCGUAACUUCGGGAGAAGGCACGCUGAUGUGUAGGUGAAGCCCCUGCGGGCGGAGCUGAAAUCAGUCGAAGAUACCAGCUGGCUGCAACUGUUUAUUAAAAACACAGCACUGUGCAAACACGAAAGUGGACGUAUACGGUGUGACGCCUGCCCGGUGCCGGAAGGUUAAUUGAUGGGGUUAGCGGCAACGCGAAGCUCUUGAUCGAAGCCCCGGUAAACGGCGGCCGUAACUAUAACGGUCCUAAGGUAGCGAAAUUCCUUGUCGGGUAAGUUCCGACCUGCACGAAUGGCGUAAUGAUGGCCAGGCUGUCUCCACCCGAGACUCAGUGAAAUUGAACUCGCUGUGAAGAUGCAGUGUACCCGCGGCAAGACGGAAAGACCCCGUGAACCUUUACUAUAGCUUGACACUGAACACUGGUCCUUGAUGUGUAGGAUAGGUGGGAGGCUUUGAAGCGUGGACGCCAGUCUGCGUGGAGCC
This 2171-nucleotide ribosomal RNA is filed under the name Enterobacter hormaechei. Its description in RNAcentral is "bacterial LSU rRNA". It matches the Rfam family "Bacterial large subunit ribosomal RNA", at positions 1 to 2187 of the family's 2925-position model. The record is from RNAcentral. Lineage: Bacteria; Pseudomonadati; Pseudomonadota; Gammaproteobacteria; Enterobacterales; Enterobacteriaceae.